CCCAUCUCUCUGAGCCCUCUCCUUCAACAACAAAACCCUGCCUGCCCCGAGCUAAAGGAAUCCGAUCACCCAGAAAAGGGAGACUUUACAGCUCUCUGGGAGCUCUGGACAGACGGAAGGGAUUAAAGCGAGUCUGCUGAGAUGAACACAUGACGCCUCCCACUCCUGCCACCACAUCACAAGUUACUCCUGUAACUAAUGCCUUCUCCGCCAUGCUACAAUGGUCCCUCAAACCAUGGGUCAGAAUAAACUCUUCAUCACUUGGCU
This is a long non-coding RNA of Psammomys obesus (fat sand rat), 267 nucleotides long. RefSeq lists it as uncharacterized. The transcript has 2 exons. The record is from RefSeq and is a predicted model, not a curated record. Lineage: Eukaryota; Metazoa; Chordata; Mammalia; Rodentia; Muridae.